This 468-nucleotide ribosomal RNA is filed under the name uncultured bacterium. Its description in RNAcentral is "partial 16S ribosomal RNA". It matches the Rfam family "Bacterial small subunit ribosomal RNA", at positions 28 to 507 of the family's 1533-position model. The record is from RNAcentral.
GACGAACGCUGGCGGCGUGCUUAACACAUGCAAGUCGAACGGAAAGGCCCUGCUUUUGUGGGGUGCUCGAGUGGCGAACGGGUGAGUAACAAGUGAGUAACCUGCCCUUGACUUUGGGAUAACUUCAGGAAACUGGGGCUAAUACCGGAUAGGAGCUCCUGCUGCAUGGUGGGGGUUGGAAAGUUUCGGCGGUUGGGGAUGGACUCGCGGCUUAUCAGCUUGUUGGUGGGGUAGUGGCUUACCAAGGCUUUGACGGGUAGCCGGCCUGAGAGGGUGACCGGCCACAUUGGGCCUGAGAUACGGCCCAGACUCCUACGGGAGGCAGCAGUGGGGAAUAUUGCACAAUGGGCGGAAGCCUGAUGCAGCAACGCCGCGUGCGGGAUGACGGCCUUCGGGUUGUAAACCGCUUUCGCCUGUGACGAAGCGUGAGUGACGGUAAUGGGUAAAGAAGCACCGGCUAACUACGUG